RNAcentral lists this ribosomal RNA (472 nucleotides) under uncultured organism. RNAcentral describes it as "partial 16S ribosomal RNA". It matches the Rfam family "Bacterial small subunit ribosomal RNA", at positions 334 to 797 of the family's 1533-position model. The record is from RNAcentral.
CACUCCUGCGGGAGGCAGCAGUGGGGAAUUUUGGACAAUGGGCGAAAGCCUGAUCCAGCAAUGCCGCGUGAGUGAAGAAGGCCUUCGGGUUGUAAAGCUCUUUUGUCAGGGAAGAAACGGUGAAAGCUAAUAUCUUUUGCUAAUGACGGUACCUGAAGAAUAAGCACCGGCUAACUACGUGCCAGCAGCCGCGGUAAUACGUAGGGUGCAAGCGUUAAUCGGAAUUACUGGGCGUAAAGCGUGCGCAGGCGGUUUUGUAAGUCUGAUGUGAAAUCCCCGGGCUCAACCUGGGAAUUGCAUUGGAGACUGCAAGGCUAGAAUCUGGCAGAGGGGGGUAGAAUUCCACGUGUAGCAGUGAAAUGCGUAGAUAUGUGGAGGAACACCGAUGGCGAAGGCAGCCCCCUGGGUCAAGAUUGACGCUCAUGCACGAAAGCGUGGGGAGCAAACAGGAUUAGAUACCCGUGUAGUCCCA